UCCAGACUCCUACGGGAGGCAGCAGUGGGGGAUAUUGCACAAUGGGGGGAACCCUGAUGCAGCGACGCCGCGUGGGUGAAGGAGCGUUUCGGCGCGUAAAGCCCUCUCGGCAGGGAAGAAGGAGGACGGUACCUGACUAAGAAGCCCCGGCUAACUACGUGUCAGCAGCCGCGGUAAUACGUAGGGGGCAAGCGUUAUCCGGGUUUACUGGGUGUAAAGGGGGCGCAGACGGCAGCGCAAGCCAGGAGUGAAAGCCCGGGGCCCAACCCCGGGACUGCUCUUGGAACUGCGCGGCUGGAGUGCAGGAGGGGCAGGCGGAAUUCCUGGUGUAGCGGUGAAAUGCGUAGAUAUCAGGAGGAACACCGGUGGCGAAGGCGGCCUGCUGGACGGCGACUGACGUUGAGGCCCGAAAGCGUGGGGAGCAAACAGGAUUAGAUACCCGAGUAAUA
This 449-nucleotide ribosomal RNA is filed under the name uncultured bacterium. Its description in RNAcentral is "partial 16S ribosomal RNA". It matches the Rfam family "Bacterial small subunit ribosomal RNA", at positions 330 to 795 of the family's 1533-position model. The record is from RNAcentral.